GAUGAACGCUAGCUACAGGCUUAACACAUGCAAGUCGAGGGGUAACGAGAGGAAAGCUUGCUUUCCUUGUCGACGACCGGCGCACGGGUGAGUAACGCGUAUCCAACCUGCCCCCAACUAGGGAAUAACCUUGCGAAAGUAAGACUAAUACCCUAUAAUUUCCUCAGAUGACAUCUGACGAGGAAUAAAGAUUUAUCGGUUGUGGAUGGGGAUGCGUCUGAUUAGCUUGUUGGCGGGGUACGGCCCACCAAGGCAACGAUCAGUAGGGGUUCUGAGAGGAAGGUCCCCCACAUUGGAACUGAGACACGGGACGAACUCCUAAGGGAGGCAGCAGUGAGGAAUAUUGGUCAAUGGGCGGAAGCCUGAACCAGCCGAGUAGCGUGCAGGAUGACGGCCCUAUGGGUUGUAAACUGCUUUUAUACAGGAAUAAAGUUAGCCACGUGUGGUUAUUUGUAGGUACUGUAUGAAUAGGGACCGGCUAAUUCCGUGCCAGCCGCCGCAGUAA
Molecule: ribosomal RNA, 505 nt
Filed under: uncultured bacterium
Lineage: Bacteria
Description: partial 16S ribosomal RNA
Rfam family: Bacterial small subunit ribosomal RNA
Source: RNAcentral